CGGGGGGGCGCUACCAUGCAAGUCGAGCGGUAGCACAGAGAGCUUGCUCUCGGGUGACGAGCGGCGGACGGGUGAGUAAUGUCUGGGAAACUGCCUGAUGGAGGGGGAUAACUACUGGAAACGGUAGCUAAUACCGCAUAACGUCGCAAGACCAAAGUGGGGGACCUUCGGGCCUCAUGCCAUCAGAUGUGCCCAGAUGGGAUUAGCUGGUAGGUGGGGUAACGGCUCACCUAGGCGACGAUCCCUAGCUGGUCUGAGAGGAUGACCAGCCACACUGGAACUGAGACACGGUCCAGACUCCUACGGGAGGCAGCAGUGGGGAAUAUUGCACAAUGGGCGCAAGCCUGAUGCAGCCAUGCCGCGUGUGUGAAGAAGGCCUUCGGGUUGUAAAGCACUUUCAGCGGGGAGGAAGGCGGUGAGGUUAAUAACCUCAUCGAUUGACGUUACCCGCAGAAGAAGCACCGGCUAACUCCGUGCCAGCAGCCGCGGUAAUACGGAGGGUGCAAGCGUUAAUCGGAAUUACUGGGCGUAAAGCGCACGCAGGCGGUCUGUCAAGUCGGAUGUGAAAUCCCCGGGCUCAACCUGGGAACUGCAUUCGAA
Molecule: ribosomal RNA, 600 nt
Filed under: Klebsiella pneumoniae
Lineage: Bacteria; Pseudomonadati; Pseudomonadota; Gammaproteobacteria; Enterobacterales; Enterobacteriaceae
Description: bacterial SSU rRNA
Rfam family: Bacterial small subunit ribosomal RNA
Source: RNAcentral